RNAcentral lists this ribosomal RNA (253 nucleotides) under uncultured bacterium. RNAcentral describes it as "partial 16S ribosomal RNA". It matches the Rfam family "Bacterial small subunit ribosomal RNA", at positions 524 to 776 of the family's 1533-position model. The record is from RNAcentral.
UACGAAGGGUGCAAGCGUUAAUCGGAAUUACUGGGCGUAAAGCGUGCGCAGGCGGUUCGACAAGUCUGAUGUGAAAGCCCCGGGCUCAACCUGGGAAUGGCAUUGGAAACUGGCGAGCUAGAGUGUGGCAGAGGGGGGUGGAAUUCCGCGUGUAGCAGUGAAAUGCGUAGAGAUGCGGAGGAACACCGAUGGCGAAGGCAGCCCCCUGGGCUGACACUGACGCUCAGGCACGAAAGCGUGGGGAGCAAACAGG